This 179-nucleotide small RNA is filed under the name Arabidopsis thaliana (thale cress). RNAcentral describes it as "ATSL147930". The record is from RNAcentral. Lineage: Eukaryota; Viridiplantae; Streptophyta; Magnoliopsida; Brassicales; Brassicaceae.
UGGCUUUGUGACACUGGUUUGUAUGGUUGUGGCGGACAAAUUCGUUUGCGGAUUGAACCAUUUUAUAUAUUAUAGUCCGUAAGAGUAUGGAUUGAGACAAAUAGAAGAAAUCCGUCGUGGACCAAUUUAUAUAAAAUAAACUUGAUUUGGGGUGGAUUGUUGUAUGUCCCAAAAAUAGA